GAUGAACGCUGGCGGCGUGCUUAACACAUGCAAGUCGAACGGGAAACCUUUUAUUGAAGCUUCGGCAGAUUUAGCUGGUUUCUAGUGGCGGACGGGUGAGUAACGCGUGGGUAACCUGCCCUAUACAGGGGGAUAACAACCAGAAAUGAUUGCUAAUACCGCAUAAGCGCACAGGACCGCAUGGUCCGGUGUGAAAAACUCCGGUGGUAUAGGAUGGACCCGCGUUGGAUUAGCUUGUUGGUGGGGUAACGGCCCACCAAGGCGACGAUCCAUAGCCGGCCUGAGAGGGUGAACGGCCACAUUGGGACUGAGACACGGCCCAGACUCCUACGGGAGGCAGCAGUGGGGAAUAUUGCACAAUGGGGGAAACCCUGAUGCAGCGACGCCGCGUGAAGGAAGAAGUAUCUCGGUAUGUAAACUUCUAUCAGCAGGGAAGAUAGUGACGGUACCUGACUAAGAAGCCCCGGCUA
This 470-nucleotide ribosomal RNA is filed under the name uncultured bacterium. RNAcentral's name for it is "bacterial SSU rRNA". It matches the Rfam family "Bacterial small subunit ribosomal RNA", at positions 28 to 499 of the family's 1533-position model. The record is from RNAcentral.